UCUAAUCAGCAAGUAGGAUUGCAAAUAAGAACGCCUUUAUGAAGGCCCCAGUUUUUACAGUAAGUCCCUCACUGCCCGCACACAACGAUGCCAAGUUCCAACCUGAUUUGCGUCACCACAGUUGUGGGUUUGCGCCAAGGUUAGUUAUCAAGCGUAGUGAGAGGAUAAAUUCACAAAAUGAGGGACAAAAAUAAGACGAGAGCUGGGUACAACGGAAGUGAAACCUGGGUGGAGGUCAUCUCCAAAUCACAGUGGAAGGACGAUGUCAGGGAUUUGUCCCAACACUCUUUUGAUGAAAGAAUUUGAUUAGUGGACUAUUGCACUCUUAAAGGCAAAGAAAACAAAGCACGGCAGUGCCCCGCUCGGUCGGGAUUCAAAAGCAGUGAAAGCUGCCUUGCUCUGUUUAAAGCGACAGGACUGCUCUGCUAUUCAGGAAAGACUAAGGAGGCAGCGGUAUCUGCGAAGUCCUGCGAGCUCCCGGCGACAGGAGUAGCGCGAGCAGCUGACGGGGGAAAUCCACUGGCAGCGAGUCGGAUGAGUCAGCGCUGAGUCACGCUCGGCGCUACGUGCCGGCCUGGGCGGCCGCAGCCCGGGGCCCGCAGCCGCGGAGUCAGCAGAGAUCCGCCGCUUCCUGGAAGACCCUCCCUGCGCCUGAGGGAGGGGGCGGCGUCGCCUCCUCGCGCCGCCAAGGCCCCCUGCAGUCACACACUCGCCCGCACGCACGACCUCCUCGCUCCAUCCUGGGGACAUCCAGGAUUCACCCCCGAGGGGAAGAGUCCCAUGUGACAAAUGGUUAGAGCUUGGGCGGAUGCUUUCAUCCCAUGUGUUUCCUCAAAGCUGAGAUUCCAGCGCUCUUGCUCUUUUCGUGUUGUUGUUAGGUUUUUAACUUUUUUUUCCCGUUUCCUGGCAGAGGAUUAACACGCUGAUCUUUUUAUAGUUUCCAAUAUUUUAAAUGAAGCACAAGAAGAAUGGAUUAAUAAAACGUGUUGAAACUUAAGCAUCAAAUCGUCACACUGCUCUGGGUUCUAAAAUGACUAGAAAGUGACUGCACUAGAAGCUUUGAAUGUUGGGUAACUGGGAAGGAUUAACUCGGUUCUGAUGUGCCCUUUGUUAAUGAAAAUCAAAUCUUUGCUAUUUGUCCAACCACCCUUAUAAUAACUAAAUUUGUCUAAAGACUGGAGACAUGUGUGGUAAUAAUUAGAUAUGGAGUCACCAAAGAACAGGGUAGCCAUGCCUUUGUGUUUUCUGUGCCUUAACUAACAUUCUGUUGUCCUAAUGUGCAAAUGAUACAUUGUUGGUUUUAAAAAAUAUUAUGGCAAUGUUUAUAUCCAUGCUGAGAGUUAAUAGCAGGUAUUGUGUCAUGAAGUGCAGCUAGUCAGUGAGAUAGUCCUGAUACAGGUGGGGUAAUUAUUAUUUAGGGACAAUUUGCGGCUGUUUUUCAAGACAGACUGGGUCUUUAGAAGUUGUGCCAGCUGUUACCGGUGGUUCUGCUUCAUUGGGAGAAUUAUUUCCCUCCUUAUCCCUGUGUACGUGUGAAAUGAUGCAAAACAAUAGAGUGUUCGUGUAGUUUGACUGCUUUUCUUGCAGGCAAGGAGACUGAAGUAAUUAGAGGUUGAACUGACUCACCAAGGUUACUGGAGAAGCAUGACUACCCAAUUUUGUAAAGGAGAGAAAAGCCCCAAACAAAUACAAAUAGGAAACAUGAAAAUACGAGAGAGGAUCAGAGCCCAAGAAAGCAAAAUGAGUAAUAUGGACCAGAAAUGGAAUCUCAUAUACUUGAACUAGUUGUAAUGGGAGGUAUACUUAAUGCGCUAGCCUUAAAAAAAAAGUCAAAUUAUUGCAUAAAAAUUUAAGAUUUUAAGUAAUUACAUACAUCAUUUGAUGUUUUAAAAACUGUGCCUGAUUCUGAUUCAUUAUUCUUAGCAUAUCCAUAUGGAUAUUGCCUUGGCAUUUACCAAGUCAGACUUCAGUUCAAAAACCCAAAUUCAUCUUAUGACGGUGUGAACUUGGACUUGAUACUUAGCUUCUCUAAGCCUAUAAUGGAGAUUAUAAUCACCAUUUCACCUGUUUGCAAAGCAGGCAGGAUUAAAUGAGAUGAUGCCUAUAAAAGGUUUAGCACAUUUCCAUGCAAAAAAUUUCUCAGUAAACGAAGCUUGUAUUGUGUUAUCAGUAUUAUUGAACUUGACUAAACUAUUGAUCAGAUCACAAAGAGGUAGUACAGGUACUUUGUCCAGAUCCUAGAACUAAUAAAAGCUUUGGGAAUGUACAUCACAAACGUAGUGGUUCAGUGACUGAUAUGGUUUGGCUCUGUGUCCCCACCCAAAUCUCAUCUCGAUUUGUAAUCCCCACGUGUCAAGGGAGGGACCUGUAAUCCCCAUGUAUCGAGGGAGGGAGGGGAUUGGACCAUGGAGUCAGUUUCCCCCAUGCUGUUCUCGUGAUAGUGAGUUCUCAUGAGAUCUGAUGGUUUUAUAAGUGUUUGGUAGCCCCUCCUUCAUUCUUCUCUUUCGUUCCACUUUCUGAAAAAGGUCCUCGCUUCCCCUUCACUUUCUGCCAUGAUUGUAAGUUUCCUGAGGCCCCCCACCCAGCCAUGUGAAACUGUGAGUCAAUUAAACCUCUUUUUUUU
Molecule: long non-coding RNA, 2623 nt
Filed under: Homo sapiens (human)
Lineage: Eukaryota; Metazoa; Chordata; Mammalia; Primates; Hominidae
Description: non-protein coding lnc-ADGRV1-6:1
Source: RNAcentral